Megalobrama amblycephala (Wuchang bream) is the source of this 2956-nucleotide long non-coding RNA. RefSeq lists it as uncharacterized. The transcript has 3 exons. The record is from RefSeq and is a predicted model, not a curated record. Lineage: Eukaryota; Metazoa; Chordata; Actinopteri; Cypriniformes; Xenocyprididae.
AACUAUCCCUUUAAUAGGGGACACAAUCAGGGCUGUAAUAUAAAGCACUACUGUAUCAGGUAACGUGUCCUUCAGAUAACACAAUACUAGAAUGCACUGCAACAAUCACACUGAAACAAAUGAAGCAAGAUAGUAGAUAGUGUCAAGAAAAAUGGUUACAAUAAAUACUUAUGCAACAUUUUGAUAAGAAUAGUUAGAAAAUCGUAAUAUAUCUCAGAAGCAAGAAUGCUCUUGCAUCUGGGUAAUUACUGCUUUGUUUUUUGAUUUUCAUAUAAAAAAAUUUGAUUGCCAGUGUAAUAUUGCUUUUUUUUUUUUUACAACACUUAAGUCAUUAAUGAGUAACUUACAUUUUUGACACAAUGUUUAUGACUACUUCAAAAAAAAAAAAUUCUCAAAAAGUUUCAACGAAAGCCAGAGGACAAUGUUCCGCUGCUCUGCUUUUUCAAAAACAUGCAUUAUUGAUAAUCUAGCAGUGUUAUUUUUCUUGUCAUUUUUUCAUAUUUGUAUUUGUCAACAUGAUUUAAUUAAAAUAUUUUCAUUAUCGCCAUGACGGACACGCCUCACCCCCCACACAAGGCCUAUCCCUGAGUACUCGUUUUUGAGAUCUAUCACUGGAAACGAAAAAUUGACAAAAAUGGCCAUCCCUAUUAUGAACUGACAUGAGCUCAUAUAUUAUUAAAGCCUUUAAUGUCACAGUUUCAGAACUUUUAAAGCAGGGGUGCCCAAUCCUGCUCUUGGAGAGCCAAUGUCCUGCAGCGUUUAGCUCCAACCAGCUCCAACACACUCGCCUGGAAGUUUCUAGUGAGUGUGAAGACCUUGAUUAGCUGCUUUAAGUGUGUUUAAUCAGGGUCGGAGCUAAACUAUGCAAGACAAUUGACCUUGAAGAGAGGUUUUGGUUUUGGAUAACCCUGGUUUAAAGUCUUGCAUGGGCUCAGUCUUCCACAUAUUCUGUAGCUUAUAAUGACAAAUGAAUUUAGUUUUGAACACUGCAAAGAUAAACUGCACCUUAUCUCUACACAUACUGUUUUUAAAGUAAAAUAAUGACAGCCUUGGUGAGAGAUUUUCCCUCAAAACAUUAAAACAUCUUAAUUUCAAACUUUUGUCAAUUUUAAUAUAUAUAUGGUCCAUAUUUGUGUCUUUGCAAUUUGUAUUAGCUUUGCAACAUGCUAAUGUUGAACUCCACUGGUAUCUGCUGUUUCUGUUGUGGGCUGAGUUGCGCAUAUUUAGUGCAUCUGAAAUCAGUAACUUUAAAGAAGGCAGCUGCAUAGGCAAUAGGUUAUGGAACAGAACAAAUGUGUCAUUUUAUUCCACCAAUGACUAAGCGACAAAGGGGUGUGUCUUAUGAAAGGACACUAGUUUUUUUUUUUUUUUGUAUUUGUUACAUUAACAGAACAUCAGAGAACAUCAUAUUUCACGAAAAGCAACUCUAAAUGGACUCCUUUCUACUUCUAUUGACAUUGCUUUGUCUUAAAGCUGACUUCAGUGACAGUGUUCUGAUCACUCAAUGGCCGAAGUACAUAUCCAGUCUCCCAGGCUCUUCAGCUGAAAUGCACUGUUACCAGAAUGACACAAACUAUGACUACAAAUACUGGUACAGGCAAAUAAAAGGUGAAGGGCCAGUGCUUAUCGGAAGCUACAUUGUCAGCUCUGACUCUUAUGAGAAGGGUUUUGAGAAUGGCUUUAAAGUGUCAGGUAUAGAGAAAAGAAAUGGACCCUGACUGUGGAUGUUACAGAGGGGGAUUGAUGCUGUGUAUCUGUGUGCUGCCAGUUUACACAGUGAAUAAAAGACAAUAAACUAUGUGACAAAAAACUUUUUGGAUGGAAACCUGCAAUCACACCUGCCUCAACCACAAAUAAAUGAACCUUAUCUUUACAGACAAGUCAGCACCUGAGAACUCACAUAUAUAGCUGUAUUAAUGACGUUACUCCUCCUUCCCCAAAAACACUUUCACAUCAUUGAUGUGAUACAGUCAGUAGAGGGAGAUGUGACUGUAUGUUUACUGUAGAGUUUUUCCUCUCUUUUAGUUGAGUCUCAUACAUUGUAUCUUUCAUCACAUUAUUUCUGCUGUGUGCAUGACCAGAGUUUUCUAACCCUGUUUUAGAAGGAUGUCUGAAGCUGCAUAUGGACUGUGCAUAUUUUUCUUAUUGUAUAUAGGGAAUGUGAGAUGUGUGAACGUUCAACAGAACCUGACUCCAAUAUUAGCCAACAUGAACAAUAAAACAGAGAUAAAGUGUAGUUAUGAUGACAGUAGCAAGCCAGUUAUGUUAUGGUAUCAGCAAAAGGAUACAGCCAUGGUCUUAAUGGUGUUUAGCUACAGUCAUACAAGUGACCCAACCUAUGAGGAUGGAUUUGAAAAGCAGUUUAAAUUGAAAAGAACAGGUGCACUGAAUGGAGUAUUGGAAAUCUCUAAUCUCAAUGUAUCAGACUCUGCUGUUUAUUACUGUGCUGUCAGUAUGCACAGUGCUGUAGUCUUUAUUACCUGCCUGACUAAAAACCAAACCACUAAACUUACAGGAAAUACACCCAUUUGAAGGAUUCAUUAAAAUUACAUUUGGGUUUCUAUUCAAAAGACUUGUUAGCAGGGUUUCUUUUUUCUAUAUUAAGAAGAAAAUAAGAAAAAAAAUGUUUGAACUUUCAAUAUUUAAUAGAGGGCACAAUCAGAAGAUCAAAGCUUUGUUUCAAAACUUGGUAAACUGUCUAAUUUAGAGGUCUCCAACCCUGAGCCUGUAGAGCUACCUUCCUGCAGAAUUCAGCUGCAACCCUGGUCCAACACGCCUGACUUUGAUUUUCAAGGAGCCUGUCCCAAUCCCCAUACUUGAAACUUAAACUUAAAACAUCAGUUGACCAUAUUUCUACUUUCAAUUUUAUAUUUCUAUAUUGAUUAAAAAAAUAAAUAAAUAAAUCAGUCAUCAUUUACUCAUAAAUUUACUCAACCUCAUGGUCCAAAAGUUUGUG